UACAGGUAGCACGAGUGGUGUCCACGAAUAUUGCGCCUAAAGCGCCCGUAGCCGGUUCAGUAAAUCUUCUGUGAAAUUUACCAACUUAAUUGGUAAGCUUGCAGGAGAAACUGCUGGGCUAGGGAGUGGAGGAGGUGUGAGGUACUGUAGGGGGAAUGGUAAAAUGUUGUAAUCCUUACAGGACCACCAGUGGCGAAAGCGUCACACCAAGACACGUCCGACGGUGAGGGGCGAAGGCUAGGGGAGCAAACCGG
RNAcentral lists this ribosomal RNA (254 nucleotides) under uncultured bacterium. RNAcentral's name for it is "partial 16S ribosomal RNA". It matches the Rfam family "Archaeal small subunit ribosomal RNA", at positions 474 to 727 of the family's 1478-position model. The record is from RNAcentral.